RNAcentral lists this ribosomal RNA (592 nucleotides) under uncultured bacterium. Its description in RNAcentral is "partial 16S ribosomal RNA". It matches the Rfam family "Bacterial small subunit ribosomal RNA", at positions 789 to 1381 of the family's 1533-position model. The record is from RNAcentral.
GGUAGUCCACGCCCUAAACGAUGUCGAUUAGCUGUUGGGCAGCAUGACUGCUUAGUAGCGAAGCUAACGCGUGAAAUCGACCGCCUGGGGAGUACGGUCGCAAGAUUAAAACUCAAAGGAAUUGACGGGGACCCGCACAAGCGGUGGAUGAUGUGGAUUAAUUCGAUGCAACGCGAAGAACCUUACCUGGUCUUGACAUGUACGGAACCCUCCAGAGACGGAGGGGUGCCUUCGGGAGCCGUAACACAGGUGCUGCAUGGCUGUCGUCAGCUCGUGUCGUGAGAUGUUGGGUNNNNNNNNNNNNNCGAGCGCAACCCUUGUCAUUAGUUGCCAUCAUUAAGUUGGGCACUCUAAUGAGACUGCCGGUGACAAGCCGGAGGAAGGUGGGGAUGACGUCAAGUCCUCAUGGCCCUUAUGACCAGGGCUUCACACGUCAUACAAUGGUCGGUACAGAGGGUAGCCAAGCCGCGAGGUGGAGCCAAUCUCACAAAACCGAUCGUAGUCCGGAUUGCACUCUGCAACUCGAGUGCAUGAAGUCGGAAUCGCUAGUAAUCGCAGGUCAGCAUACUGCGGUGAAUACGUUCCCGGGUCU